CCUACGGGCGGCAGCAGUGAGGAAUAUUGGUCAAUGGACGCGAGUCUGAACCAGCCAAGUAGCGUGAAGGAUGACUGCCCUAUGGGUUGUAAACUUCUUUUAUAAGGGAAUAAAACGAGGCACGUGUGCCUUUUUGCAUGUACUUUAUGAAUAAGGAUCGGCUAACUCCGUGCCAGCAGCCGCGGUAAUACGGAGGAUCCGAGCGUUAUCCGGAUUUAUUGGGUUUAAAGGGAGCGUAGAUGGGUUGUUAAGUCAGUUGUGAAAAUUUGCGGCUCAACCGUAAAAUUGCAAUUGAUACUGGUAGUCUUGAGUGCAGUUGAGGUAAGCGGAAUGCGUGGUGUAGCGGUGAAAUGCUUAGAUAUCACGAAGAACCCCGAUUGCGAAGGCAGCUUACUAAACUGUGACUGACAUUGAGGCACGAAAGUGUGGGGAGCAAACAGGAUUAGAUACCCGGGUAGUC
RNAcentral lists this ribosomal RNA (460 nucleotides) under uncultured bacterium. Its description in RNAcentral is "partial 16S ribosomal RNA". It matches the Rfam family "Bacterial small subunit ribosomal RNA", at positions 338 to 795 of the family's 1533-position model. The record is from RNAcentral.